AUGGAAGGCAUCCGGGGGUGGCGGCUGCUCUGGGCUGCGGCCCUGGGGGAGCAGCUCCCCUGGACCACACCUGGAGACUCUACCAUCAGCAAAAAUGACAGGGAAAAGGCCUCUGUACCACUGUCCUGUGACUGGGCAGAAAAGGAGGUCUUGCUCCCGCUCAAGGAACCUUCUAAAAUGCACCUGCUGCUGCUCGCAGUUCUCUUCUUGAGCCCUCACCAGGCAGCAGCUGACGAGGAGACCCGGAUGAUGACGGAAGCUCUGGAGACGUUCCUAAGGCCUCGUGACUGUGUUUGGAAGGUGUUUGCAUCUGUGCAGCUCAGCAGGCAAGCAGCUCUUGCUGGGGGGUACAGCGGCCUCUGCUCCAUUUGCUUAAAAGGGGGAGGUGCAAGGAAUGAGGCUCUAAUUAGGUGUCUUAAAAAAUUAACACAUGAGGCGCCGAUGGUCGUUGUGGGAGUCGGUCUCGGUCCGGCACCCCAGAACUCCAACUGGCAGACAGGCAUGUGUGACUGCUUCAGCGACUGUGGAGUCUGCCUCUGUGGCACGUUUUGUUUCCCGUGCCUUGGGUGUCAAGUUGCAGCUGAUAUGAAUGAAUGCUGUGUGGAGCAAGCGUCGCAAUGAGGACUCUCUACAGGACGUGAUAUGGCAUCCCUGGAUCUAUUUGUGAUGAUUAUAUGGCAACCCUUUGCGGUCCUCCUUGUACUCUUUGCCAAAUCAAGAGAGAUAUCAACAGAAGGAGAGUCAUGCGUACUUUCUAAAAACUGAUGGUGAAAAGCUCCUACCGAAGCAACAAAAUUCAGCAGACACCUCUUCAGCUUGAGUUCUUCACCAUCUUUUGCAACUGAAAUAUGAUGGAUAUGUUUAAGUACAACUGAUGGCAUGAAAAAAAUCAAAUGUUUGAUUUAUUAUAAAUGAACGUUGUCCCUGAGCUUAGCUAAAUGGUGCGACUUAGUUUCUCCCUGCUUUCAUAUUAUCGAAUUUCCUGUCUUAUAGACUUUUUAAAUUACAUUUGAAAUAUAAACCAAAUAAAA
RNA transcript from Homo sapiens (human), 1031 nucleotides. RefSeq lists it as uncharacterized. NCBI's taxonomy places the organism in Eukaryota, Metazoa, Chordata, Mammalia, Primates, Hominidae. The transcript has 3 exons. The record is from RefSeq and is a predicted model, not a curated record.